GCAAAACCAAGGAGAAACAAUACCAACAGUGUGAAGAAAGGCACGGAUACUACACAAGAAGCAGCAAAACCAUGAAAAGAAAUCAAGAAGGUUGCACAAAGAAAACCACGCAACAUCGACCAUAAAAGCAUGGGAAUAUAAUACAUCGGAAGGUCAAUGAACAAGGCGUGGUAUUAGUGUCGAAUGAUGCUCAUUCCCUUGCUCAAACACCUAUUGAUUGUAGUAUAAUCUCAAGCCAGGAAAAGAAACUUCACAAACGGAGAUGGAAAAUAAAACCACUUACAUUAGAGAUCUCCAGAGGAGGACAUUUCAAGAGGAAAGCUUUCAGCUUAAAAGUACAAGAAUCCAUACAUCGAACAUUUGUUGACACAGAAAUGAACCUGAACCGGUGAAGAUAUUUAAGAUGGAGCUCAAAUGCCAUCUUUGGAAUUGAAACCGGUGCAAUAGUCGUAAGAAGGAGAACAAAUUACAUUUGGUUCUUGGCCAACAUUUACCCAGGAAGUAAAGAUGAAGAUUGUGAGAGAGAAGAGUGAUAAAUAUUUUUGCUCAGGUGAAGCAUGGGGUUGGCGUAGAGGACAUAGUGAACCACAUUUUACAAGCUUGGGAAUUGCAACCGGCAAUAAGAAGCGUGAAAUGUUCAGCAUUACUUGAACUUUGUGGAACUUUUGGCUUCUCCAAUGCUACCUGCCAUUCACUUUCCAUGUGUCCCAGACACAUAUAAAGAGACACAGUGGACCUGGUCAAAAAGAAACAAAGGAGAAACUGAAGUAUAUAGCUAGCUCAAUUUGUUUUUACUUUUUAGUUUGUCUCUUUUGCUUUGUUUCAGACUAUCUCUGUUUUUGUGCUUUAUUAAAUUAAUAAAAUAAGCCAUAGGUGAUAAAAAGCCUAGUGGCCUUUAUUUAAAAAAAAAAAAAAAAAAAACUGAGGGAGUAUUUGAAUAGUGACCAAGGAAUGGUAUACGGAGUAUCAAACACAUGCUUUUCCCAAUUUAUGGAACACAACUCUUCAGUUUGCAAAUUAAACAUUAAUUUAAGGAAGAAGUGAUAGUAAUUUCAGGAAACCCACGAGUUUUUCCUUAGUUUAAGGUAUAUCUAUCCUCCAACCCAAAGAGUUGGAAGCUUCUAUAAAUAUACAAUCUCAUGAUGUUCACAAAAUCGUCCAAGGAUAAUAAAAUAAACCAAUCGGCAAAAAGAAAAAAUUAUCAAUAAAAAUUUAACCUUUGGAAAAAAUGGAGGCAAAUAAACUUGUAACAAUGUUUCUAAUGUGCAUGGUUGUGUUUUCAGCUAUGCACAUUUCCAUGGCUGAAGAUUUCCCGGGCUGCAUUGAUAGGUGUGAAAAGGAUUGCUCUGGGAAAGGCCUUGACUUUACUUACUGUAAGCUGACAUGUGAGGCUGAUUGUGGUUUGAGAGAGCUCCAAGGCAGAUUUAAGAAGCUCAUUUCUUGAACUGGACCAAGGAUGCAGGGUAUCACCCCUAGCAGGAGAUAGGGAAAAAAUAAAAUAGUGAAUUUAAUUUAAUUUAAUUAAUUCACUUCAUUAAUUUCCUUUUCUACUGCCGUUGUAAUGCUUCUAAUGAGAUGUAAAAAUAAUUACAUUUUGAUUUAUUUAUUUUUAUUGAAUAAUAUUA
Molecule: long non-coding RNA, 1625 nt
Organism: Lycium barbarum (goji berry)
Lineage: Eukaryota; Viridiplantae; Streptophyta; Magnoliopsida; Solanales; Solanaceae
Exons: 2
Source: RefSeq, a predicted model, not a curated record